This 402-nucleotide ribosomal RNA is filed under the name bacterium. RNAcentral describes it as "partial 16S ribosomal RNA". It matches the Rfam family "Bacterial small subunit ribosomal RNA", at positions 355 to 776 of the family's 1533-position model. The record is from RNAcentral.
UGGGGAAUUUUGCACAAUGGGGGAAACCCUGAUGCAGCGACGCCGCGUGAUUUAGAAGGCCUUCGGGUUGUAAAAAUCUUUUCUAUGGGAAGAAAAUGACAGUACCAUAGGAAUAAGGACCGACUAAUUACGUGCCAGCAGCCGCGGUAAUACGUAAGGUCCGAGCGUUGUCCGGAAUCAUUGGGCGUAAAGGGUACGUAGGCGGGUAAGCAAGUUAGAAGUGAAAUCCUAUAGCUCAACUAUAGUAAGCUUUUAAAACUGCUCAUCUUGAGGUAUGGAAGGGAAAGUGGAAUUCCUAGUGUAGCGGUGAAAUGCGCAGAUAUUAGGAGGGAUACCGGUGGCGAAGGCGACUUUCUGGCCAUAACCUGACGCUGAGGUACGAAAGCGUGGGUAGCAAACAGG